GAUGAACGCUGGCGGCGUGCUUAACACAUGCAAGUCGAACGGAAAGGCCCAAGCUUGCUUGGGUGCUCGAGUGGCGAACGGGUGAGUAACACGUGGGUGAUCUGCCCUGCACUUUGGGAUAAGCCUGGGAAACUGGGUCUAAUACCGGAUAGGACCAUCGUUUAGUGUCGGUGGUGGAAAGUAUUUCGGUGUGGGUUGAGCUCGCGGCGUAUCAGCUUGUUGGUCGGGUAAUGGCCUACUAAGGCGUCGACGGGUAGCCGGCGGGAGAGGGUGUACGGCCACACGGGAAGUGAGACGCCCUCCUGAGUCCUAAGGGAGGCACCAGUAGGCAAUGUGGCGCAACGGGGGAAAGAAUGACGGAGCGGGGCCGAGUCAGUGAUGAAGGCCCUCGGAGGGGAAAACUCGCUUAUGAGUGAAGAACAACUUUGUAAGGAACUAAGCACUUUUUGACGGUACCUUAUCAGAAAGCCACGGCUAACUACGGG
RNAcentral lists this ribosomal RNA (485 nucleotides) under uncultured bacterium. RNAcentral's name for it is "partial 16S ribosomal RNA". It matches the Rfam family "Bacterial small subunit ribosomal RNA", at positions 28 to 507 of the family's 1533-position model. The record is from RNAcentral.